GGUUCCGUAGUGUAGUGGUUAGCACGUGAGGUUUUGAAGCCUCUCCUUGAUUCCUCGAAUCGCGAGUUCGAAUCUCGCCGGAACCU
This is a transfer RNA of 86 nucleotides. It matches the Rfam family "tRNA". From Rfam's summary of the family: Transfer RNA (tRNA) molecules are approximately 80 nucleotides in length. Their secondary structure includes four short double-helical elements and three loops (D, anti-codon, and T loops). The record is from Rfam.